CCUAGAACCUAGGCGAAUUCAUAAAGACAGAAAGUUUUUGAGGGGGUGGGGGAAGGAAGUGCGAACUAAGUGGAAACCGGUUCUUGUGGGGACGAGGCAAGAGCUUUAGCCGGAAGAAAGCUGCUCACUGCGCAACCUGGUGAGCACCCUGAGCAGCCCUGAAUUUGCUGUGCAAAGGUCACCUCCACCGAGGGAGGGCUGUGCGCCCCGGGUUCCCGCCCCGCUCCUCCGCACCCACUGCGGUUUCUCUUUCUCUUUCGGCGAUGGCGGAGCCCGGGCCUCGUCCUCGUCCUCGUCCUCGCCUGCCGGGGCCUGCGGCGUCCUGAGGGGACAUGUGGCCUUCCCCCCGGGGGCCAGGCACCCGAGGUCGUCGCCCUGAGGCUGCCCCUGUGCAAGGACGAGGAGUACCCGGUGGGCCCUGACUGCUGCCCCAAGUGCAACCCAGGUGGGUGGCGCCUUGCGGGGGCCCCCUGCCCUGCACCGGCCCACGGCCCCGCCCUGGCAGGAAGCCAGGACACAGGGGCCACGGGGGCCUGGCCAGGUGGAGCCGGCCACCAGCGGCCAGGGGAGGGGCCCGGAGCGCGCGCCCUGCCGCCAGGUGGAAGAGCCGGCCUUGGGGUCGGGGUCCCAGGCAGCCCACCAGAACCUUCCAGUGUCCCCAGAGCAGGCACCUCUCGGAAGACAGUCGGGGCUCUGGGUUUUGGGGUGGGGAAGCUCAGGUGCCCUGCGCCACCCUCCUUGGGCAUCUGGGGGGGGUUGAACGGGAGGGGGCGGGAGAGGGGAGGAGCGUGACGGUGGGAGUGGGGCGGCCCCAGCGCCCUGGCGCUGCCCUGUGAAGCAUCCACCCCGGGCCCGCAGGUUUCCGGGUGAAGGAGGCCCACGGGGCCUUGACCUGCUCGGUGUGCGUGCCGUGCCUCGCGGGGACCUACACUGCCCACCUGAAUGGCCUGAGCGAGUGCCUGCAGUGCCGCGUCUGCGACCCGGGGUACGAGGCCCCGCCCGCCCCUGCCCCCAGGAUGCGGGCAGACCCGCACCUUCCAGGGCCCCCUUCCCACUGACCCCUGACAGGACC
RNAcentral lists this long non-coding RNA (1072 nucleotides) under Dasypus novemcinctus (nine-banded armadillo). Its description in RNAcentral is "lncRNA (ENSDNOG00000051883.1)". The record is from RNAcentral. Lineage: Eukaryota; Metazoa; Chordata; Mammalia; Cingulata; Dasypodidae.